This 856-nucleotide long non-coding RNA is filed under the name Cricetulus griseus (Chinese hamster). RNAcentral describes it as "lncRNA (ENSCGRG00015040092.1)". Lineage: Eukaryota; Metazoa; Chordata; Mammalia; Rodentia; Cricetidae. The record is from RNAcentral.
CCUCUUUACUACAUUUCCCAGAAUCCUCCUCGACUCCUAGCCCUUCCUAUCUUGCUUCCAUAUUAGCCAACAGUGCUUUAUUUAUCAACCAAUAAGACAAACAUAUAUACAGAAGGACUUCCCCCAUCAGUUUUGUGUAGCCCUGGCUGUCCCCACAACUUGAUCAGGCUGGCCUUGAACUCAGAGAUCUGCCAACCUCUGUCUCCUGAGUGCUAGGAUUAAAGGUUGAAGAUACAGAGACAAGUUGUUGACCUAAAUCUGCAUUCACUUUGGGUUCCAGGAAGAACAGAAGUCUCAGGUGAGAGCACUUAUCCAUGGGGGUGAGGCCAGACACCGGAGCAGAAACAACAUCCCUACCAGCCAGGUUGUCCCUUUAAUCAGCAAGGACCUCUGCAGACCUCUUGAAGACCCAAAGCUGACAAUGAUCAACAGCACACGUAGCCCAGGACUGAUUAUUCGACUAGAGGAGAUUCAGAUGAGCACAUACCAGUAGCUCUGACGAACACAGGUUCUGCUAACUAGAUGCUCACCACCUCAAGAUGGGACCUACUCCAGUGGAUGGCAGUUAAUGUAGAAGUUUUCUUUCACUUGGACCUGAAGCUGUGUUCAUCUGGUUCUCACCGGUUUCAGUUUCACUUUCUGGAACCAAACUGAGUAAGUCCAGUACUGCUCCCAUCUAAACACACUUCCGAGAUCUGAGAAUGAUGUUUGACUGAAAGACCCCUGCCCUUAGCUUUUUCUUUUAAGUUUGCCUCCACCUCCGGUCGGCAGCUGGCGGGGCGCGCGCGCGAAUACAUCCUCCCCUCCCCUGCACUCCCCGACCCUUGAUCCCCACAGCUGCCGGCUCCCACUUCCC